RNAcentral lists this unclassified non-coding RNA (307 nucleotides) under Hevea brasiliensis (rubber tree). Lineage: Eukaryota; Viridiplantae; Streptophyta; Magnoliopsida; Malpighiales; Euphorbiaceae. The record is from RNAcentral.
AAAAUUAAAUCAAAAUAAUUCCUUAAUUUAAUUUUCCUUGACUGCAUCACAUAUCCUGCUUAAAGAUGUCAUAUGUGAAUAACAUAGUAUGAUAGCGAUAUGAAAACAAAAAAUAAGAGGGAAAGAAUUGCAGAAUUAGGAAUUAACAUCUAAUUCUUUAACAUCCUCGCCAAGCAUCCACUCAAUCACUUUUCCAUCCUUUGCCUAGAGCAAUAAAUAAUAGGUCCACAAAGAGGCAGUUUCCUAAAGUCAGUGGUUGGCUUCCAGUAAAGCUACGAAGUACCUUGUUGUUGUAAAAUUCAGCCAU